RNAcentral lists this transfer RNA (87 nucleotides) under Acidimicrobiaceae bacterium. RNAcentral describes it as "tRNA-Ser". It matches the Rfam family "tRNA". From Rfam's summary of the family: Transfer RNA (tRNA) molecules are approximately 80 nucleotides in length. Their secondary structure includes four short double-helical elements and three loops (D, anti-codon, and T loops). Lineage: Bacteria; Bacillati; Actinomycetota; Acidimicrobiia; Acidimicrobiales; Acidimicrobiaceae. The record is from RNAcentral.
GGAGGGAUGGCAGAGCGGACGAAUGCGCUGGUCUUGAAAACCAGUGGGCCUUUGCGGGUCCCGGGGGUUCGAAUCCCCCUCCCUCCG